UAAUCAUAAUAAUGCCCACUUUGCUAGGGAACUUGACGGUGUUGAUAAGAUAAGAUACACGAAUGUGUGCCACUGCCACUACGGCUCAAUGAUUAUAUAUGAACACAGGAAGAAGCACUGAAAAACUUUCCUUUGGGUGAACACCUUUUAAGGGACUCUUUAACAUUGAAGGUUUGGCUUUGUUGCUCAUUGGCUGUUUUAGUACAAUCCAUCAAGAGAAUGAAUUGAAAAAUGAUAUUCAUACACUGGUUGGGUGCCUACUGCCUAGUGUAUCUCCUGGCCAAGAAUUAGAGACUAAUUUCUUGAUUUUGGAGGCUAUGUUUUUCUGGCAGUGUACCUAUCGCUGAUUCAGAUCAGGCCAUUCCAAGAUUGUAAAUGCUUUUUCAGGGGUCAGGAGUAAUAACUAUUAUAGAGGGCCAAUGAUCUACAAGCCGCUUUUGUAGGCACAUGCUCAGAAUCACACAAAGGGUCUGCAAGGAUCUCUUUCACUCUUGAGAUCAUGCAAGAAAUGUAGCUUCCAAUGUUUAACAAGUAUCAUGAGGGGAUGGAUCAGACAUUCCGUUUUAGCACUUACCCUCAUAAGAAAAGGGUGUAAUACUGAUACUGAUUGAUUAACAAAGGGAAAGACAUGCUUGCUCAAAAUUUCUGCUAUCAUAUGUUAAUAAUGGUCACAUAAUUGCUCAGGAUGGAUGAGGUGUUCACUAUAUUUGUGAGUUUCACUGCUUAAUUGGAAUUCUCCCUAGUGUUUUACCAAUAAUGAAGCUGGCUGGCAUUUGAAUUGAGUGCACAAGUUAGUCUUCUUAAAAGCUUAAUGUCUUAUGGUUGCUGUCAAGGCUCAAGGGCAUUCAUUUGGACUUCAGUGAGAUGGGAAGACUAGUGAGUAGUGACAAUGAAACUCGUAAAUUUGAACUGUAUGUUGUUAUUGUUAUGGGAACACUCAACUAUGGUUGCCUUUAGUUUCAUGUGUGUGUCAUUUUAGAAGUAGAAUUUAGGAUUCAUUUAUACAUCACAUAUAUUAUAUUCAUAUCACAAAAUUAUACAAUAACUUUAUCAUCCAAUACUUUUUUUUUUCUUUUAUCCCUCUUAAUUACAUCAUCAAUCUUGUCUUUUACUUCUCUUUUGUCUCUUCCUAUCUCUCUUAUUUGUAAAAGAAAGUUGUAUAAUUUUGUUGAAUAAAUAGAAUUUCUCAUUUGGAA
Glycine soja is the source of this 1196-nucleotide long non-coding RNA. RefSeq lists it as uncharacterized. NCBI's taxonomy places the organism in Eukaryota, Viridiplantae, Streptophyta, Magnoliopsida, Fabales, Fabaceae. The record is from RefSeq and is a predicted model, not a curated record. The transcript has 5 exons.